RNAcentral lists this unclassified non-coding RNA (264 nucleotides) under plant metagenome. Its description in RNAcentral is "partial contains small subunit ribosomal RNA, internal transcribed spacer 1, and 5.8S ribosomal RNA". The record is from RNAcentral.
UUUCCGUAGGUGAACCUGCGGAAGGAUCAUUAUUGAAUCUUCAUCCGGGGCGUCUCGGCCCUCAGCACCGGUAGAAACGCAGUGCUGCGGGUGCCGCGCCUGCACUCGUCCAAACCAACCACCUGUGAACCUUACGGGAUGGCCCGGGUUAGCGCCCGUGGCCGUUCCGCUUGAUACCACCACUUAUAUAAGAAUGAACUGAAUGCGGUCUGACCGCUGGAUAACAAACUGAAACAACUUUCAACAACGGAUCUCUUGGCUCUC